GUGGGGAAUCUUGCGCAAUGGGCGAAAGCCUGACGCAGCCAUGCCGCGUGAAUGAUGAAGGUCUUAGGAUUGUAAAAUUCUUUCACCGGGGACGAUAAUGACGGUACCCGGAGAAGAAGCUCCGGCUAACUUCGUGCCAGCAGCCGCGGUAAUACGAAGGGGGCUAGCGUUGCUCGGAAUUACUGGGCGUAAAGGGCGCGUAGGCGGACAGCUUAGUCAGAGGUGAAAGCCCAGGGCUCAACCUUGGAAUUGCCUUUGAUACUGGCUGUCUUGAGUUUGGGAGAGGUGAGUGGAACUCAGAGUGUAGAGGUGAAAUUCGUAGAUAUUCGGAAGAACACCAGUGGCGAAGGCGACUCACUGGCCCAAUACUGACGCUGAGGCGCGAAAGCGUGGGGAGCAAACAGGAUUAGAUACCCUAGUAGUCC
RNAcentral lists this ribosomal RNA (425 nucleotides) under uncultured bacterium. Its description in RNAcentral is "partial 16S ribosomal RNA". It matches the Rfam family "Bacterial small subunit ribosomal RNA", at positions 354 to 796 of the family's 1533-position model. The record is from RNAcentral.